Molecule: small nuclear RNA, 186 nt
Organism: Echinops telfairi (small Madagascar hedgehog)
Lineage: Eukaryota; Metazoa; Chordata; Mammalia; Afrosoricida; Tenrecidae
Product: U2 spliceosomal RNA
Exons: 1
Source: RefSeq, a predicted model, not a curated record
AUCGCUUCUCGGCCUUUUGGCUAAGAUCAAGUGUAGUAUCUCUUCUUAUCAGUUUAAUAUCUGAUACGUCCUCUAUCCGAGGACAAUAUAUGAAAUAGAUUUUUGGAAUUAGGAGAUGGAAUAGGAACUUGCUCCGUCCACUCCACACAAAAAAAUACAUAUAUAUUUACAUAAUUUGAAAACCCA